This is a long non-coding RNA of Onychostoma macrolepis, 856 nucleotides long. RefSeq lists it as uncharacterized. The record is from RefSeq and is a predicted model, not a curated record. NCBI's taxonomy places the organism in Eukaryota, Metazoa, Chordata, Actinopteri, Cypriniformes, Cyprinidae. The transcript is spliced from 4 exons.
GAUUUGAAAUUUAAUUAACGUUAUUUGUCUGUACCAGUCGUGUUUUUGACACAUGCAUUGGCUGAAAAAAAAGUCUUUAUAAAAUGUACAACAUUAACAUUUUUUAUCUGCAAAAUGAAGUUGUGUAUUUAUUUCUGAUUUCCUGAACAAUUUGGCUUCAUUGUAAUGAGGUUAAUGAUCUUUUAAAAACCAUGAUUAUGAACAUACGAUUACUUUGUCUUGAGCUGACCACCCAACUGUGGUAGUGUUCGUUGAUAGGUGUUUAUAUUUAUUCAAGCUUGACAAUCUUAUCGCCUUUAUUUUCUAAUAUAUAUAUUUCUCAUUACAGAUAAGAACAAAGAUCAAAUUGUAAGAAGGGUUGCUUAUAUGAGAGCAUACAGUACAUCUGAAACUGCUGAGACUGGGAAGGUUUUUGACUAUAUUACCGACCAGCUGCUAUAGAAGACAAACUGAAAUCUGAGUGCAGAGACGGGAAUAAGUGCUGCACAGUGACAACAGACAAGAGGAUAAGAAUGGACACUCAUAUGUCAAGCUUGAUGAGGAUAUUGUCAAAAGAUCCUGUGAUAAAGCAUUCUUCAAAUACUACAGUGUCUGAAUUGCAAGCCCUUAGUUGCAGGACAUGCAAGUCGUACUCAAAGAAGUGACCUCGUCCCACCGGCUCCCCCUUGGUCAGUCAUCACUCUGCUUCUGCCACAGACUUGCAGGCUGUCUGCUGCGCUCCAACCCUCCACCUCUUUGACUGUAGUCUUAACACAAUAUAAAGGCAGUCGAUGCCUUUAUUAAGGAUGUGAAUUGUUUUUGUCAAGAGAACAUCAUUAUUUAUAUUCAAGAAAAGGCAUACUGAACUGACACAAAC